GCAAGCCCAGGAUACAGGCAUUUCUCCCUUUCUACCCGACUAAAGUUCUGCACAGGAAUCACUGAAAACUGAAGUUGAUGCCUUUUAGGAUACUUGAUGGUUGAAAAUAGCAUCUGAAAACAGUUGAAACAGAAUGGAGAGCAGUGCCACGUGUUAAAAUCCAG
Lagopus leucura (white-tailed ptarmigan) is the source of this 164-nucleotide long non-coding RNA. RefSeq lists it as uncharacterized. The record is from RefSeq and is a predicted model, not a curated record. The transcript is spliced from 3 exons. Lineage: Eukaryota; Metazoa; Chordata; Aves; Galliformes; Phasianidae.